Molecule: small nuclear RNA, 202 nt
Filed under: Staphylococcus aureus
Lineage: Bacteria; Bacillati; Bacillota; Bacilli; Caryophanales; Staphylococcaceae
Also listed under: 1 other name
Description: SAUSA300s272
Rfam family: Staphylococcus sRNA 35 (srn_0335) (bases 28-202)
About the family: Other name: Srn_0335, SAOUHSCs258. Northern blot transcript confirmed in exponentially growing and stationary cells in three cultivation media.
Source: RNAcentral
UGUAGAGAUGCAUUUUUUUGACAAUGGUAGAACCUUUUCUGGGGAGUGGGACAGAAAUGAUAUUUUCGCAAAAUUUAUUUCGCCGUCCCACCCCAACUUGCAUUGUCUGUAGAAAUUGGGAAUCCAAUUUCUCUUUGUUGGGGCCCCGCCCCAACUCGCAUUGCCUGUAGAAUUUCUUUUCGAAAUUCUCUGUGUUGGGGCC